This 482-nucleotide ribosomal RNA is filed under the name uncultured bacterium. Its description in RNAcentral is "partial 16S ribosomal RNA". It matches the Rfam family "Bacterial small subunit ribosomal RNA", at positions 28 to 507 of the family's 1533-position model. The record is from RNAcentral.
GAUGAACGCUCGCGGCAGGCCUAAUACAUGCGAGUCGAACGAGAUUAAGAGGCUUGCUUCUUAUGAAAGUGGCGCACGGGUGCGUAACGCGUAUGCAACCUACCUUAAUCAGGGGGAUAGCCCGAAGAAAUUCGGAUUAAGACCGCAUAAAAACACAGGAUAGCAUUAUCCAAUGUUCAAAUAUUUAUAGGAUUAAGAUGGGCAUGCGUGUCAUUAGCUAGUUGGCGGGGUAACGGCCCACCAAGGCGACGAUGACUAGGGGAUCUGAGAGGAUGACCCCCCACACUGGUACUGAGACACGGACCAGACUCCUACGGGAGGCAGCAGUAAGGAAUAUUGGUCAAUGGAGGGAACUCUGAACCAGCCAUGCCGCGUGCAGGAAGACAGCCCUCUGGGUCGUAAACUGCUUUUAUUCGGGAAUAAACCUUUCUACGUGUAGGAAGCUGAAUGUACCGAAGGAAUAAGGAUCGGCUAACUCCGUG